GGCCGAUUGGUGUAAUGGUUAGCACGUCGGAUUCUGAUUCCGGAGAUGCUGGUUCGAUUCCUGCAUGGGCCU
Molecule: transfer RNA, 72 nt
Filed under: Blumeria hordei DH14
Lineage: Eukaryota; Fungi; Ascomycota; Leotiomycetes; Helotiales; Erysiphaceae
Also listed under: 3 other names
Description: tRNA-Gln (CTG) (tRNA-Gln-CTG-4-1, tRNA-Gln-CTG-4-2)
Rfam family: tRNA
About the family: Transfer RNA (tRNA) molecules are approximately 80 nucleotides in length.
Source: RNAcentral